This 2904-nucleotide ribosomal RNA is filed under the name Escherichia coli 3030-1. Its description in RNAcentral is "bacterial LSU rRNA". It matches the Rfam family "Bacterial large subunit ribosomal RNA". The record is from RNAcentral. Lineage: Bacteria; Pseudomonadati; Pseudomonadota; Gammaproteobacteria; Enterobacterales; Enterobacteriaceae.
UUAAGCGACUAAGCGUACACGGUGGAUGCCCUGGCAGUCAGAGGCGAUGAAGGACGUGCUAAUCUGCGAUAAGCGUCGGUAAGGUGAUAUGAACCGUUAUAACCGGCGAUUUCCGAAUGGGGAAACCCAGUGUGAUUCGUCACACUAUCAUUAACUGAAUCCAUAGGUUAAUGAGGCGAACCGGGGGAACUGAAACAUCUAAGUACCCCGAGGAAAAGAAAUCAACCGAGAUUCCCCCAGUAGCGGCGAGCGAACGGGGAGCAGCCCAGAGCCUGAAUCAGUGUGUGUGUUAGUGGAAGCGUCUGGAAAGGCGCGCGAUACAGGGUGACAGCCCCGUACACAAAAAUGCACAUGCUGUGAGCUCGAUGAGUAGGGCGGGACACGUGGUAUCCUGUCUGAAUAUGGGGGGACCAUCCUCCAAGGCUAAAUACUCCUGACUGACCGAUAGUGAACCAGUACCGUGAGGGAAAGGCGAAAAGAACCCCGGCGAGGGGAGUGAAAAAGAACCUGAAACCGUGUACGUACAAGCAGUGGGAGCACAGAGCAAUCUGUGUGACUGCGUACCUUUUGUAUAAUGGGUCAGCGACUUAUAUUCUGUAGCAAGGUUAACCGAAUAGGGGAGCCGAAGGGAAACCGAGUCUUAACUGGGCGUUAAGUUGCAGGGUAUAGACCCGAAACCCGGUGAUCUAGCCAUGGGCAGGUUGAAGGUUGGGUAACACUAACUGGAGGACCGAACCGACUAAUGUUGAAAAAUUAGCGGAUGACUUGUGGCUGGGGGUGAAAGGCCAAUCAAACCGGGAGAUAGCUGGUUCUCCCCGAAAGCUAUUUAGGUAGCGCCUCGUGAAUUCAUCUCCGGGGGUAGAGCACUGUUUCGGCAAGGGGGUCAUCCCGACUUACCAACCCGAUGCAAACUGCGAAUACCGGAGAAUGUUAUCACGGGAGACACACGGCGGGUGCUAACGUCCGUCGUGAAGAGGGAAACAACCCAGACCGCCAGCUAAGGUCCCAAAGUCAUGGUUAAGUGGGAAACGAUGUGGGAAGGCCCAGACAGCCAGGAUGUUGGCUUAGAAGCAGCCAUCAUUUAAAGAAAGCGUAAUAGCUCACUGGUCGAGUCGGCCUGCGCGGAAGAUGUAACGGGGCUAAACCAUGCACCGAAGCUGCGGCAGCGACGCUUAUGCGUUGUUGGGUAGGGGAGCGUUCUGUAAGCCUGCGAAGGUGUGCUGUGAGGCAUGCUGGAGGUAUCAGAAGUGCGAAUGCUGACAUAAGUAACGAUAAAGCGGGUGAAAAGCCCGCUCGCCGGAAGACCAAGGGUUCCUGUCCAACGUUAAUCGGGGCAGGGUGAGUCGACCCCUAAGGCGAGGCCGAAAGGCGUAGUCGAUGGGAAACAGGUUAAUAUUCCUGUACUUGGUGUUACUGCGAAGGGGGGACGGAGAAGGCUAUGUUGGCCGGGCGACGGUUGUCCCGGUUUAAGCGUGUAGGCUGGUUUUCCAGGCAAAUCCGGAAAAUCAAGGCUGAGGCGUGAUGACGAGGCACUACGGUGCUGAAGCAACAAAUGCCCUGCUUCCAGGAAAAGCCUCUAAGCAUCAGGUAACAUCAAAUCGUACCCCAAACCGACACAGGUGGUCAGGUAGAGAAUACCAAGGCGCUUGAGAGAACUCGGGUGAAGGAACUAGGCAAAAUGGUGCCGUAACUUCGGGAGAAGGCACGCUGAUAUGUAGGUGAAGUCCCUCGCGGAUGGAGCUGAAAUCAGUCGAAGAUACCAGCUGGCUGCAACUGUUUAUUAAAAACACAGCACUGUGCAAACACGAAAGUGGACGUAUACGGUGUGACGCCUGCCCGGUGCCGGAAGGUUAAUUGAUGGGGUUAGCGCAAGCGAAGCUCUUGAUCGAAGCCCCGGUAAACGGCGGCCGUAACUAUAACGGUCCUAAGGUAGCGAAAUUCCUUGUCGGGUAAGUUCCGACCUGCACGAAUGGCGUAAUGAUGGCCAGGCUGUCUCCACCCGAGACUCAGUGAAAUUGAACUCGCUGUGAAGAUGCAGUGUACCCGCGGCAAGACGGAAAGACCCCGUGAACCUUUACUAUAGCUUGACACUGAACAUUGAGCCUUGAUGUGUAGGAUAGGUGGGAGGCUUUGAAGUGUGGACGCCAGUCUGCAUGGAGCCGACCUUGAAAUACCACCCUUUAAUGUUUGAUGUUCUAACGUUGACCCGUAAUCCGGGUUGCGGACAGUGUCUGGUGGGUAGUUUGACUGGGGCGGUCUCCUCCUAAAGAGUAACGGAGGAGCACGAAGGUUGGCUAAUCCUGGUCGGACAUCAGGAGGUUAGUGCAAUGGCAUAAGCCAGCUUGACUGCGAGCGUGACGGCGCGAGCAGGUGCGAAAGCAGGUCAUAGUGAUCCGGUGGUUCUGAAUGGAAGGGCCAUCGCUCAACGGAUAAAAGGUACUCCGGGGAUAACAGGCUGAUACCGCCCAAGAGUUCAUAUCGACGGCGGUGUUUGGCACCUCGAUGUCGGCUCAUCACAUCCUGGGGCUGAAGUAGGUCCCAAGGGUAUGGCUGUUCGCCAUUUAAAGUGGUACGCGAGCUGGGUUUAGAACGUCGUGAGACAGUUCGGUCCCUAUCUGCCGUGGGCGCUGGAGAAUUGAGGGGGGCUGCUCCUAGUACGAGAGGACCGGAGUGGACGCAUCACUGGUGUUCGGGUUGUCAUGCCAAUGGCACUGCCCGGUAGCUAAAUGCGGAAGAGAUAAGUGCUGAAAGCAUCUAAGCACGAAACUUGCCCCGAGAUGAGUUCUCCCUGACUCCUUGAGAGUCCUGAAGGAACGUUGAAGACGACGACGUUGAUAGGCCGGGUGUGUAAGCGCAGCGAUGCGUUGAGCUAACCGGUACUAAUGAACCGUGAGGCUUAACCUU